UUUCACAGUGUUGCAUUAGUGAAGCAAAGGCAUCCAAGUCUUUCUUUCCGUCGAGGUGGAUGCCGUCGAUGAUCCUACUUCCUUGGCACAGUAUCU
Molecule: long non-coding RNA, 96 nt
Organism: Neltuma alba
Lineage: Eukaryota; Viridiplantae; Streptophyta; Magnoliopsida; Fabales; Fabaceae
Exons: 4
Source: RefSeq, a predicted model, not a curated record